AAACUGCGAAUGGCUCAUUAAAUCAGUUAUCGUUUAUUUGAUAGUACCUUACUACUUGGAUAACCGUGGUAAUUCUAGAGCUAAUACAUGCUGAAAACCCCGACUUCGGGAGGGGUGUAUUUAUUAGAUAAAAAACCAAUGCCCUUCGGGGCUCUUUGGUGAUUCAUGAUAACUUUUCAGAUCGCAUGGCCUUGCGCCGGCGACGGUUCAUUCAAAUUUCUGCCCUAUCAACUUUCGAUGGUAAGGUAUUGGCUUACCAUGGUUUCAACGGGUAACGGGGAAUUAGGGUUCGAUUCCGGAGAGGGAGCCUGAGAAACGGCUACCACAUCCAAGGAAGGCAGCAGGCGCGCAAAUUACCCAAUCCCGACACGGGGAGGUAGUGACAAUAAAUACUGAUACAGGGCUCUUUUGGGUCUUGUAAUUGGAAUGAGUACAAUUUAAACCUCUUAACGAGGAACAAUUGGAGGGCAAGUCUGGUGCCAGCAGCCGCGGUAAUUCCAGCUCCAAUAGCGUAUAUUAAAGUUGUUGCAGUUAAAAAGCUCGUAGUUGAACCUUGGGCCUGGCUGGCAGGUCCGCCUCACCGCGUGUACUUGUCCGGCCGGGCCUUUCCUUCUGGAGAACCUCAUGCCCUUCACUGGGUGUGCUGGGGAACCAGGACUUUUACUUUGAAAAAAUUAGAGUGUUCAAAGCAGGCCUUUGCUCGAAUACGUUAGCAUGGAAUAAUAGAAUAGGACGUGCGGUCCUAUUUUGUUGGUUUCUAGGACCGCCGUAAUGAUUAAUAGGGACAGUCGGGGGCAUCAGUAUUCAAUUGUCAGAGGUGAAAUUCUUGGAUUUAUUGAAGACUAACUACUGCGAAAGCAUUUGCCAAGGAUGUUUUCAUUAAUCAGUGAACGAAAGUUAGGGGAUCGAAGACGAUCAGAUACCGUCGUAGUCUUAACCGUAAACUAUGCCGACUAGGGAUCGGGCGAUGUUUCUAUCUUGACUCGCUCGGCACCUUACGAGAAAUCAAAAGU
RNAcentral lists this ribosomal RNA (1013 nucleotides) under Corynespora cassiicola. Its description in RNAcentral is "SSU rRNA". It matches the Rfam family "Eukaryotic small subunit ribosomal RNA", at positions 84 to 1104 of the family's 1831-position model. The record is from RNAcentral. Lineage: Eukaryota; Fungi; Ascomycota; Dothideomycetes; Pleosporales; Corynesporascaceae.